GAUCCUGGCUCAGAUUGAACGCUGGCGGCAGGCCUAACACAUGCAAGUCGAACGGUAACAGAAAGCAGCUUGCUGCUUUGCUGACGAGUGGCGGACGGGUGAGUAAUGUCUGGGAAACUGCCUGAUGGAGGGGGAUAACGUACUGGAAACGGUAGCUAAUACCGCAUAACGUCGCAAGACCAAAGAGGGGGACCUUCGGGCCGUCUUGCCAUCGGAUGUGCCCAGAUGGGAUUAGCUUGUUGGG
This 244-nucleotide ribosomal RNA is filed under the name uncultured bacterium. RNAcentral describes it as "partial 16S ribosomal RNA". It matches the Rfam family "Bacterial small subunit ribosomal RNA", at positions 15 to 253 of the family's 1533-position model. The record is from RNAcentral.